This is a long non-coding RNA of Bos taurus (domestic cattle), 1360 nucleotides long. The record is from Ensembl. Lineage: Eukaryota; Metazoa; Chordata; Mammalia; Artiodactyla; Bovidae.
UUAUGUUGGUUAUAAAAUUUAUUGAUCUCUCAUUUAGGAACUGAAUAAAACCUUGAAAACCCUGAAACAAAAUAGCCCCUUAGCCCUACCACCCAAACGAAAUCCACAUACAUUAGCGCGACGAAAUAUCAAACAGAUCACGGCAGAAAUCACCAACUCAACAGCUUAAAUGCGGACUGGACAGAAAGCUGUCCUGCGGCCAGGGGCGGCGAGGCGGGAGACACACGCACACCUGGCUAUAAAUUAACAUCGGCCUUGGCUGCCGCGCCGCGGCGGUCAGUUCCCACCCCCCACCACCCCGAGCCCACGAGGAAAACAGAUGCAACGCGACUGGGGGAGGAGGCGUUGUAGUUCUCAAGCCAGCCUCACCCGAGUCCGUUUGCCCCAUUCACUCACUCCUCGGCUAACAGCAAACUAACGCGACAACAUUUUCAAAUGCAACAGAAAAAACCCAGGAACCCGGGAGGAGGAGGAGGAGGUUGGGGGGGGCGGCUUUUUCUUGGCAAACAACACAGCGGAUUCCCAGCCUACAGAAGGGGAAGGGAGGGAAGGCGGCGAGGGGCCUGCGAGCUCGAGAAAGUCCCAUUUCCGCCGCUCCGGACUCCUUUCAGUUUUCGUACAAACCCCGACAGCUACAGCCAAACUUUCCAUCCUCCCCAUCAUCGGUACAAGGCAACAGUCCCAGCCUUCCCGACCGGAGCCUCGAGACUCUGAGCGCCACAUUCAACCGCCUGUCGGGGUUGUCUGCGGAAGAAUAGCGGCGCGGGGAAGCCCGGCUGCGGGUAGCUGGCACCCUGACUAUCGCCGCCUCCAGCCCAAACUAGUGGCUCAGCGUCUGCAACUCCCGAAGACGCCCGAGGCGACCGGUGGGAAGGAAAAGCCAACCCCGGACAGAGGUGGCAAAGACUGAAAUAAGUGUCCCCACGGUGUGGCCCACCAACCCCCCCAGCCUCGUGGAAAGAUGGGGAACCCAAAGAAAGGCGUAUAUCCUAAGUGUGGGGAAAAAAAACAAAAACAAAAACAGCUCCAAACCGAGGUUUUUAGCUCCUUAUAAUGCAAGACCCAGCGAUCCUGGGAAGCCUGCGUGCCAGGAGCUUGCUUCCCCGUUUCUUGCACAAAUUAUAAAGUAACCCGCUGUGACUUGGGGGACGCAGAGCAGGCCAGCCCGCCCUGGGGCCCGCGGACCGCUAGCACCAGAAUCCCGGCUCCCAGCAGCAACGUCUCCUGGAAGUUUGGGGUCUCGAAACCCGCCUCUUAAGUUUGGGUUCCACUUGGUUCUGUUGCUCUUCUGGGCGGAAGGAAGCGAACGUAUACAGUCAAGGGCUGCUGCGAUCAUUUGAAUGGUUCUACGCAUUUAGGG